Molecule: ribosomal RNA, 884 nt
Filed under: Blastacervulus eucalypti
Lineage: Eukaryota; Fungi; Ascomycota; Dothideomycetes; Asterinales; Asterinaceae
Description: eukaryotic LSU rRNA
Rfam family: Eukaryotic large subunit ribosomal RNA
Source: RNAcentral
UAAGCAUAUCAAUAAGCGGAGGAAGAGAAACCAACCGGGAUUGCCCUAGUAACGGCGAGUGAAGCGGCAACAGCUCAAAUUUGAAAUCUGGCGCCUUCGGCGUCCGAGUUGUAAUUUGUAGAGGGUAGCUCGAGCCCGCCCCCGUCUAAGUCCCCUGGAACGGGGCGUCGUAGAGGGUGAGAAUCCCGUAUGCGACGGGGUGGCGUGCUCGUGUGAGCUCCCUUCGACGAGUCGAGUUGUUUGGGAAUGCAGCUCUAAAUGGGAGGUAAAUUCCUUCUAAAGCUAAAUACCGGCCAGAGACCGAUAGCGCACAAGUAGAGUGAUCGAAAGAUGAAAAGCACUUUGGAAAGAGAGUUAAAAAGCACGUGAAAUUGUUGAAAGGGAAGCGCUCACGACCAGACUCGGGUGCGGCUGCUCAGCCGGUCUUCUGACCGGUGCAUCGGUUGCGCCCGGGCCAGCAUCGGUUCGGGCGGUCGGAUAAAGGUCCCGGGAACGUAGCUCCCCUCGGGGAGUGUUAUAGCCCGGGGCGCAAUGCGGCCUGCCCGGACCGAGGAACGCGUUCGCUAGGAUGCUGGCGUAAUGGUCGUUAGCGGCCCGUCUUGAAACACGGACCAAGGAGUCUACCAUCUGUGCGAGUAUUAGGGUGUCAAACCCUUGUGCGUAAUGAAAGUGAACGGAGGUGGGAACCCUCGGGUGCACCAUCGACCGAUCCAGAUGUCCUCGGACGGAUUUGAGUAAGAGCACCGCUGGUGGGACCCGAAAGAUGGUGAACUAUGCGCGGAUAGGGUGAAGCCAGAGGAAACUCUGGUGGAGGCUCGCAGCGGUUCUGACGUGCAAAUCGAUCGUCAAAUCUACGCAUAGGGGCGAAAGACUAAUCGAACCAU